Molecule: ribosomal RNA, 465 nt
Filed under: Vreelandella stevensii
Lineage: Bacteria; Pseudomonadati; Pseudomonadota; Gammaproteobacteria; Oceanospirillales; Halomonadaceae
Description: partial 16S ribosomal RNA
Rfam family: Bacterial small subunit ribosomal RNA
Source: RNAcentral
CCUACGGGAGGCAGCAGUGGGGAAUAUUGGACAAUGGGCGAAAGCCUGAUCCAGCCAUGCCGCGUGUGUGAAGAAGGCCUUCGGGUUGUAAAGCACUUUCAGUGGGGAAGAAAGCCUUGGGGCUAAUACCCUCGAGGAAGGACAUCACCCACAGAAGAAGCACCGGCUAACUCCGUGCCAGCAGCCGCGGUAAUACGGAGGGUGCGAGCGUUAAUCGGAAUUACUGGGCGUAAAGCGCGCGUAGGCGGUCUGAUAAGCCGGUUGUGAAAGCCCCGGGCUCAACCUGGGAACGGCAUCCGGAACUGUCAAGCUAGAGUCGCGUAGAGGGAGGUAGAAUUCCCGGUGUAGCGGGGAAAUGCGUAGAGAUCGGGAGGAAUACCAGUGGCGAAGGCGGACUCCUGGACGGACACUGACGCUGAGGUGCGAAAGCGUGGGUAGCAAACAGGAUUAGAUACCCCGGUAGUC